UCUGAGGAGGCAAGAAGCUUUCUUGGAGGCUUUGACCACUGGCAGGAGCUUCAGAAGAGCCUCCUCCGAAGCCGAGUAUUUCUUCAGGUUGAACUCAUCCAGAUCUUUCUCUGAUGACAGCAGGAUGAAGACCAGAGCUGACCACUGAGCAGGAGAGAGAUAAUAUCUGUAGAGACUUCCUGAACUCAGGCCUCGCAGCAGAGUCUGAUUGGUCUUCAGUGAAAGACCCAGGAGGAAGCGGAGGAACAAGUCCAGGUGUCCAUUUGGACUCUGUCAGUGUGAGGAAGCAGAGGAAGCUGCCUCCAGCUGCUGUUCUUCACAAUCAAUCCACUAGAUGGCGUCAUGAAGCUGCAGUGAAGUGGAGAGCAGCACACACACUAUGCAUGGAGGACUGUUUCCACUCAGUGGCACAGCAGCAGUAACUGAGGGAGAAACGAGCUGCGCCAUCGUGCUGCAAAGUGAAAGUAAAAAUAAGAGGCGGAUAUGAGCGGAGCGGAGUGACGUCACAGUCCUGCCUACAGCAGUGCUAAUAAAAAAAA
Molecule: long non-coding RNA, 539 nt
Organism: Acanthopagrus latus (yellowfin seabream)
Lineage: Eukaryota; Metazoa; Chordata; Actinopteri; Spariformes; Sparidae
Exons: 5
Source: RefSeq, a predicted model, not a curated record